RNAcentral lists this ribosomal RNA (388 nucleotides) under uncultured bacterium. RNAcentral describes it as "bacterial SSU rRNA". It matches the Rfam family "Bacterial small subunit ribosomal RNA", at positions 28 to 413 of the family's 1533-position model. The record is from RNAcentral.
GACGAACGCUGGCGGCGUGCUUAAUACAUGCAAGUCAACGACUUUUAGAGUAGCAAUAUUUUAAAGGAAGUGGCGCACGAGUGAGUAACACGUAGGUAAUCUGCCUUCAGGACUGACACAACUCGUCGAAAGACGGGCUAAUAUCAGAUAAUGCAGCGGCUCCGCAUGGAGACAGUUGUUAAAGUACAAGCGCCUGAAGAUGAGCCUGCGGUCCAUUAGCUAGUUGGUAGAGUAACAGCCUACCAAGGCAACGAUGGAUAGCUGGUCUGAGAGGAUGAUCAGCCACACUGGAACUGAGACACGGUCCAGACUCCUACGGGAGGCAGCAGUAAGGAAUAUUGCUCAAUGGCCGAAAGGCUGAAGCAGCAACGCCGCGUGAAGGAUGAAU